CAAUAAUAACAUGGAUGAGCCAUUUCUUUAACGACAGUAGCAUGGAAAUAGCAAUUUUUUAUCGGAUGACAUGAAUAAACCAUUUCUAAAAGUUGAGUUAUAUUUUUAGGCCUUUUCCGUUUUCCUCAUGUAAUUUUGAGACAUAUUAGUUGUUAAAUUUCUUGAAUAUAAUAAACAUUCACAUAUAACUAACAUGCCAAUAUUAUAUUGGUAUAAGAUUGACUUAAAUGGAGCGUAUGAACAGUGAAAUUAUAUAACUAAUCUCAACUUGAUUGGUGU
Molecule: long non-coding RNA, 279 nt
Filed under: Nicotiana benthamiana
Lineage: Eukaryota; Viridiplantae; Streptophyta; Magnoliopsida; Solanales; Solanaceae
Description: long non-coding RNA (NBEN_LNC039228)
Source: RNAcentral